CCGGCAGCCAAGGUGGAUCAGACAGUUCAGGGGGCCAGGGUUGACCCAAAAGUUCAGGGGACCACGAGGGACCAGACAGUUCAGGUGGCCAGGGUGGACCCGAAAGUUCAGGGGACCACGAGGGACCCGGCAGUUCAGGUGGCCAGGGUGGACCCGAAAGUUCAGGGGACCACGAGGGACCAGGCAGUUCAGGUGGCCACGGAGGAUCAGUCCAUCUUAGUUGUGCAGACGGCCAGGGAGGAACUCGCCACUUGAGCGACCAGAGCGGAACCUGCCCUUCCGGUGUCCCAGUGGAGACGUGAAGGUGCUCUGGACGGCCUGUGGAGACGUGAAGGUGCUCUGGACGGCCUGUGGAGACGUGAAGGUGUUCUGGACGGCCUGUGGAGACGUGAAGUACCUCGACCUCGGGAACCAUCUCGGGCACCGCAACGGACAGCGCCUCGGGCACCGCAUCGGGAAUGGCCUCGGACCCUGCCUCGGGCACCGCAUCGGGAACGGCCUCCGCAUCGGGCACCGCCUCGGCCAUUGCAUCGGGCACCGCCUCGACCUCGGGCACCGCCUCAGUCUCGGGCAUUACAUCGGGAACCGUCUCUGGCACCGUCUCUGGCACCGCAUCGGGCACCGCCUCGGCAUCGGGCACCGUCUCGGCAUCGGGCACCGUCUCUGCAUCGGGCACCGCCUCGG
This is a long non-coding RNA of Cyprinus carpio carpio, 684 nucleotides long. The record is from Ensembl. NCBI's taxonomy places the organism in Eukaryota, Metazoa, Chordata, Actinopteri, Cypriniformes, Cyprinidae.